CGCACCUUGCGCUCCUUGGUACUCCGAGGAGCAUGCCUGUUUGAGUGUCAUUAAAUUCUCAACCUCAACCAGUUUGUUUUCUGGUGUGGCUUGGAAGUGGGGGACUGUUUGUAGGCUUUUUUCUAGUCUACUCCCCUGAAAUGCAUUAGCUGUGACUUGUCAGCCAAUUGGUGUGAUACAUAUCUACUCCAUCUGCUGUUCCAAGGUUGCACUGCUUCCCACUGUUCACUACAGUGGACUACACACUUACUUAGUGUAAUGAACAAUUUGACCUCAAAUCAGGUAGGAUUACCCGCUGAACUUAA
Molecule: unclassified non-coding RNA, 305 nt
Filed under: Psathyrellaceae sp.
Lineage: Eukaryota; Fungi; Basidiomycota; Agaricomycetes; Agaricales; Psathyrellaceae
Description: partial contains 5.8S ribosomal RNA, internal transcribed spacer 2, and large subunit ribosomal RNA
Source: RNAcentral